This is a long non-coding RNA of Leopardus geoffroyi (Geoffroy's cat), 343 nucleotides long. RefSeq lists it as uncharacterized. NCBI's taxonomy places the organism in Eukaryota, Metazoa, Chordata, Mammalia, Carnivora, Felidae. The transcript has 2 exons. The record is from RefSeq and is a predicted model, not a curated record.
CCCAUAUACCAUCACUGGGGAAUUGGUUUCAACGUAUUAGGUAGAAGCUAGACACAGCAGUGGAAGGAAUGCCCCAAGGCAGAGUUCCAAGUCCUUGAAGGGGAAUGAUAGAGACAUGAGCUGGAGGCCAGGACGGUUACAAAAAGGAAAUUUGGACACACUGAGAGACACCAUAGGGGCAUGAAUAUACAGAGAGACAAACAUGUGAAGAAGCAGCAACAGGAGGACCAUCUGUCGUCCAAGAAGAAAGGCCUCAGAAGAAACCAAACUCACCUCCACCUUGAUCUUGGACUUCUAGCUUCCAGAACUGUAAGCAAAUAAAAUAAAUUUCUGUUGUUUAAGA